Molecule: non-coding RNA, 165 nt
Organism: Beta vulgaris subsp. vulgaris (sugar beet)
Lineage: Eukaryota; Viridiplantae; Streptophyta; Magnoliopsida; Caryophyllales; Amaranthaceae
Source: Rfam
UUACCCGCUUGUAAAAUUUUUACAUAUUAAAUAUAAUCAAUGGGAACAGAACUCUCGUGUGGAACAGAAAGGUAAAAGUGUGUUUGAUUUUGAUUUUCAGUACGAAUACGAACUGUGAAAGCGUGGCCUUGUGAUCUUUUAGACCUUCGAAAUUUGAAGCUAGAG